CGAAUGGGGAAACCCAGUGUGUUUCGACACACUAUCAUUAACUGAAUCCAUAGGUUAAUGAGGCGAACCGGGGGAACUGAAACAUCUAAGUACCCCGAGGAAAAGAAAUCAACCGAGAUUCCCCCAGUAGCGGCGAGCGAACGGGGAGCAGCCCAGAGCCUGAAUCAGUGUGUGUGUUAGUGGAAGCGUCUGGAAAGGCGCGCGAUACAGGGUGACAGCCCCGUACACAAAAAUGCACAUGCUGUGAGCUCGAUGAGUAGGGCGGGACACGUGGUAUCCUGUCUGAAUAUGGGGGGACCAUCCUCCAAGGCUAAAUACUCCUGACUGACCGAUAGUGAACCAGUACCGUGAGGGAAAGGCGAAAAGAACCCCGGCGAGGGGAGUGAAAAAGAACCUGAAACCGUGUACGUACAAGCAGUGGGAGCACGCUUAGGCGUGUGACUGCGUACCUUUUGUAUAAUGGGUCAGCGACUUAUAUUCUGUAGCAAGGUUAACCGAAUAGGGGAGCCGAAGGGAAACCGAGUCUUAACUGGGCGUUAAGUUGCAGGGUAUAGACCCGAAACCCGGUGAUCUAGCCAUGGGCAGGUUGAAGGUUGGGUAACACUAACUGGAGGACCGAACCGACUAAUGUUGAAAAAUUAGCGGAUGACUUGUGGCUGGGGGUGAAAGGCCAAUCAAACCGGGAGAUAGCUGGUUCUCCCCGAAAGCUAUUUAGGUAGCGCCUCGUGAAUUCAUCUCCGGGGGUAGAGCACUGUUUCGGCAAGGGGGUCAUCCCGACUUACCAACCCGAUGCAAACUGCGAAUACCGGAGAAUGUUAUCACGGGAGACACACGGCGGGUGCUAACGUCCGUCGUGAAGAGGGAAACAACCCAGACCGCCAGCUAAGGUCCCAAAGUCAUGGUUAAGUGGGAAACGAUGUGGGAAGGCCCAGACAGCCAGGAUGUUGGCUUAGAAGCAGCCAUCAUUUAAAGAAAGCGUAAUAGCUCACUGGUCGAGUCGGCCUGCGCGGAAGAUGUAACGGGGCUAAACCAUGCACCGAAGCUGCGGCAGCGACGCUUAUGCGUUGUUGGGUAGGGGAGCGUUCUGUAAGCCUGUGAAGGUGUGCUGUGAGGCAUGCUGGAGGUAUCAGAAGUGCGAAUGCUGACAUAAGUAACGAUAAAGCGGGUGAAAAGCCCGCUCGCCGGAAGACCAAGGGUUCCUGUCCAACGUUAAUCGGGGCAGGGUGAGUCGACCCCUAAGGCGAGGCCGAAAGGCGUAGUCGAUGGGAAACAGGUUAAUAUUCCUGUACUUGGUGUUACUGCGAAGGGGGGACGGAGAAGGCUAUGUUGGCCGGGCGACGGUUGUCCCGGUUUAAGCGUGUAGGCUGGUUUUCCAGGCAAAUCCGGAAAAUCAAGGCUGAGGCGUGAUGACGAGGCACUACGGUGCUGAAGCAACAAAUGCCCUGCUUCCAGGAA
This 1455-nucleotide ribosomal RNA is filed under the name Escherichia coli. Its description in RNAcentral is "partial 23S ribosomal RNA". It matches the Rfam family "Bacterial large subunit ribosomal RNA", at positions 115 to 1614 of the family's 2925-position model. Lineage: Bacteria; Pseudomonadati; Pseudomonadota; Gammaproteobacteria; Enterobacterales; Enterobacteriaceae. The record is from RNAcentral.